Molecule: ribosomal RNA, 492 nt
Filed under: uncultured bacterium
Lineage: Bacteria
Description: partial 16S ribosomal RNA
Rfam family: Bacterial small subunit ribosomal RNA
Source: RNAcentral
AAUGAACGCUGGCGGUAUGCCUAACACAUGCAAGUCGAACGAAAGCACAGGAAGAUCUUGCUCUUACGGGUGGCGAGUGGCGGACGGGUGACGAAUACAUCGGAAUCUUCUUUGUCGGGGGUGAUAACGUGGGGAAACUUACGCUAAUACCGCAUACAUCCUACGGGUGAGAGCAGGAGUUAUUCGGACCUUUCGCGAUUGUAUGAGCCGAUGUCGGAUUAGCUAGUUGGCGAGGUAAAGGCCCACCAAGGCGACGAUGCGAAGCGGGUCUGAGAGGGUGAUCGGCCACACUGGAACUGAGACACGGUCCAGACUCCUACGGGAGGCAGCAGUGGGGAAUCUUCCGCAAUGGGCGAAAGCCUGACGGAGCAACGCCGCGUGAGGGAUGAAGGUCUUCGGAUGGUAAAGCUCUGUUGUUGGGAAAGAACAAAAGUGUAAUUAACCCUGCACGUCUUGACGGUACCUAAACAAAAAGCCCCGGCUAACUCCGUG